RNAcentral lists this unclassified non-coding RNA (258 nucleotides) under uncultured fungus. RNAcentral describes it as "partial contains 5.8S ribosomal RNA, internal transcribed spacer 2, and large subunit ribosomal RNA". Lineage: Eukaryota; Fungi. The record is from RNAcentral.
AACGCACAUUGCGCCCGCCAGCAUUCUGGCGGGCAUGCCUGUUCGAGCGUCAUUUCAACCCUCGCAGCCUGUCGGCAGCGGUGUUGGGUAUCAGCAGAAGUCUAUGUAUGCUGCACCCCAAAUACAGUGGCGGUCUCGCUGCAGCCUCCCAUGCGUAGUAGCACACCUCGCACGUGGAGCGCGGCGCGGCCACGCCGUAAAAUCCCCGACUCUCCUGAGUUUGACCUCGGAUCAGGUAGGAAUACCCGCUGAACUUAA